This 497-nucleotide ribosomal RNA is filed under the name uncultured bacterium. RNAcentral's name for it is "partial 16S ribosomal RNA". It matches the Rfam family "Bacterial small subunit ribosomal RNA", at positions 28 to 507 of the family's 1533-position model. The record is from RNAcentral.
GAUGAACGCUGGCGGCGUGCCUAAUACAUGCAAGUCGAGCGAACAGACGCGGAGCUUGCUCCUCUGACGUUAGCGGCGGCCGGGUGAGUAACACGUGGAUAACCUACCUAUACGACUGGGAUAACUUCGGGAAACCGGAGCUAAUACCGGAUAAUAUAUUGAACCGCAUGGUUCAAUAGUGAAAGACGGUUUUGCUGUCACUUAUAGAUGGAUCCGCGCCGUAUUAGCUAGUUGGUAAGGUAACGGCUUACCAAGGCAACGAUGCGUAGCCGACCUGAGAGGGUGAUCGGCCACACUGGAACUGAGGCGCGGUCCAGACUCCUACGGGAGGCAGCAGUAGGGAAUCUUCCGCAAUAGGCGAAGGCCUGACGGAGCAGCGCCGCGUGGUGGGUGAAGGUCUUCGGAUCGUAAAACUCUGUUAUUGGGAAAGAACAAAUGUGUAAGUGACUAUGCACGUCUUGACGGUACCUAAUCAGGAAGCCACGGCUAACUACGUG